GGGGUUAUAGCUCAGUGGUAGAGUGCUUGCCUCACACGCAUGAGGCACAGAGUUCAAUCCUCAGCACCA
Molecule: transfer RNA, 69 nt
Filed under: Ictidomys tridecemlineatus (thirteen-lined ground squirrel)
Lineage: Eukaryota; Metazoa; Chordata; Mammalia; Rodentia; Sciuridae
Description: Spermophilus tridecemlineatus (thirteen-lined ground squirrel) tRNA
Rfam family: tRNA
About the family: Transfer RNA (tRNA) molecules are approximately 80 nucleotides in length. Their secondary structure includes four short double-helical elements and three loops (D, anti-codon, and T loops). Further hydrogen bonds mediate the characteristic L-shaped molecular structure. tRNAs have two regions of fundamental functional importance: the anti-codon, which is responsible for specific mRNA codon recognition, and the 3' end, to which the tRNAs corresponding amino acid is attached (by aminoacyl-tRNA synthetases). tRNAs cope with the degeneracy of the genetic code in two manners: having more than one tRNA (with a specific anti-codon) for a particular amino acid; and 'wobble' base-pairing, i.e. permitting non-standard base-pairing at the 3rd anti-codon position.
Source: Rfam by way of RNAcentral